RNAcentral lists this ribosomal RNA (2531 nucleotides) under Staphylococcus aureus. Its description in RNAcentral is "bacterial LSU rRNA". It matches the Rfam family "Bacterial large subunit ribosomal RNA", at positions 30 to 2559 of the family's 2925-position model. Lineage: Bacteria; Bacillati; Bacillota; Bacilli; Caryophanales; Staphylococcaceae. The record is from RNAcentral.
GCCUUGGCACUAGAAGCCGAUGAAGGACGUUACUAACGACGAUAUGCUUUGGGGAGCUGUAAGUAAGCUUUGAUCCAGAGAUUUCCGAAUGGGGAAACCCAGCAUGAGUUAUGUCAUGUUAUCGAUAUGUGAAUACAUAGCAUAUCAGAAGGCACACCCGGAGAACUGAAACAUCUUAGUACCCGGAGGAAGAGAAAGAAAAUUCGAUUCCCUUAGUAGCGGCGAGCGAAACGGGAAGAGCCCAAACCAACAAGCUUGCUUGUUGGGGUUGUAGGACACUCUAUACGGAGUUACAAAGGACGACAUUAGACGAAUCAUCUGGAAAGAUGAAUCAAAGAAGGUAAUAAUCCUGUAGUCGAAAAUGUUGUCUCUCUUGAGUGGAUCCUGAGUACGACGGAGCACGUGAAAUUCCGUCGGAAUCUGGGAGGACCAUCUCCUAAGGCUAAAUACUCUCUAGUGACCGAUAGUGAACCAGUACCGUGAGGGAAAGGUGAAAAGCACCCCGGAAGGGGAGUGAAAUAGAACCUGAAACCGUGUGCUUACAAGUAGUCAGAGCCCGUUAAUGGGUGAUGGCGUGCCUUUUGUAGAAUGAACCGGCGAGUUACGAUUUGAUGCAAGGUUAAGCAGUAAAUGUGGAGCCGUAGCGAAAGCGAGUCUGAAUAGGGCGUUUAGUAUUUGGUCGUAGACCCGAAACCAGGUGAUCUACCCUUGGUCAGGUUGAAGUUCAGGUAACACUGAAUGGAGGACCGAACCGACUUACGUUGAAAAGUGAGCGGAUGAACUGAGGGUAGCGGAGAAAUUCCAAUCGAACCUGGAGAUAGCUGGUUCUCUCCGAAAUAGCUUUAGGGCUAGCCUCAAGUGAUGAUUAUUGGAGGUAGAGCACUGUUUGGACGAGGGGCCCCUCUCGGGUUACCGAAUUCAGACAAACUCCGAAUGCCAAUUAAUUUAACUUGGGAGUCAGAACAUGGGUGAUAAGGUCCGUGUUCGAAAGGGAAACAGCCCAGACCACCAGCUAAGGUCCCAAAAUAUAUGUUAAGUGGAAAAGGAUGUGGCGUUGCCCAGACAACUAGGAUGUUGGCUUAGAAGCAGCCAUCAUUUAAAGAGUGCGUAAUAGCUCACUAGUCGAGUGACACUGCGCCGAAAAUGUACCGGGGCUAAACAUAUUACCGAAGCUGUGGAUUGUCCUUUGGACAAUGGUAGGAGAGCGUUCUAAGGGCGUUGAAGCAUGAUCGUAAGGACAUGUGGAGCGCUUAGAAGUGAGAAUGCCGGUGUGAGUAGCGAAAGACGGGUGAGAAUCCCGUCCACCGAUUGACUAAGGUUUCCAGAGGAAGGCUCGUCCGCUCUGGGUUAGUCGGGUCCUAAGCUGAGGCCGACAGGCGUAGGCGAUGGAUAACAGGUUGAUAUUCCUGUACCACCUAUAAUCGUUUUAAUCGAUGGGGGGACGCAGUAGGAUAGGCGAAGCGUGCGAUUGGAUUGCACGUCUAAGCAGUAAGGCUGAGUAUUAGGCAAAUCCGGUACUCGUUAAGGCUGAGCUGUGAUGGGGAGAAGACAUUGUGUCUUCGAGUCGUUGAUUUCACACUGCCGAGAAAAGCCUCUAGAUAGAAAAUAGGUGCCCGUACCGCAAACCGACACAGGUAGUCAAGAUGAGAAUUCUAAGGUGAGCGAGCGAACUCUCGUUAAGGAACUCGGCAAAAUGACCCCGUAACUUCGGGAGAAGGGGUGCUCUUUAGGGUUAACGCCCAGAAGAGCCGCAGUGAAUAGGCCCAAGCGACUGUUUAUCAAAAACACAGGUCUCUGCUAAACCGUAAGGUGAUGUAUAGGGGCUGACGCCUGCCCGGUGCUGGAAGGUUAAGAGGAGUGGUUAGCUUCUGCGAAGCUACGAAUCGAAGCCCCAGUAAACGGCGGCCGUAACUAUAACGGUCCUAAGGUAGCGAAAUUCCUUGUCGGGUAAGUUCCGACCCGCACGAAAGGCGUAACGAUUUGGGCACUGUCUCAACGAGAGACUCGGUGAAAUCAUAGUACCUGUGAAGAUGCAGGUUACCCGCGACAGGACGGAAAGACCCCGUGGAGCUUUACUGUAGCCUGAUAUUGAAAUUCGGCACAGCUUGUACAGGAUAGGUAGGAGCCUUUGAAACGUGAGCGCUAGCUUACGUGGAGGCGCUGGUGGGAUACUACCCUAGCUGUGUUGGCUUUCUAACCCGCACCACUUAUCGUGGUGGGAGACAGUGUCAGGCGGGCAGUUUGACUGGGGCGGUCGCCUCCUAAAAGGUAACGGAGGCGCUCAAAGGUUCCCUCAGAAUGGUUGGAAAUCAUUCAUAGAGUGUAAAGGCAUAAGGGAGCUUGACUGCGAGACCUACAAGUCGAGCAGGGUCGAAAGACGGACUUAGUGAUCCGGUGGUUCCGCAUGGAAGGGCCAUCGCUCAACGGAUAAAAGCUACCCCGGGGAUAACAGGCUUAUCUCCCCCAAGAGUUCACAUCGACGGGGAGGUUUGGCACCUCGAUGUCGGCUCAUCGCAUCCUGGGGCUGUAGU